Molecule: long non-coding RNA, 338 nt
Organism: Sphaerodactylus townsendi
Lineage: Eukaryota; Metazoa; Chordata; Lepidosauria; Squamata; Sphaerodactylidae
Exons: 2
Source: RefSeq, a predicted model, not a curated record
CUCUCUGCUGCUCCUGCCGGCAGCUUGAAACUGCAAAUUUUUAGUGCUGUACAGCUGAGAGUGAGAGCUGAUUUCCUUGGCAAGCACUCUGAUCUGCACAUAGAAAAAUACAAGGAACAGUGGCAGGUUGUACAGGGAGCUAAGGUGCAAAAUGUUGAAAAGGAUAUCUGUCUUCAAAAUGAUUGGAAAGGAUUGCAUUCCCAGGUGACACCUAUAAAUCUGUGGCUACUUUUCUCUGCUAAUGGCAAAAAAAUAUCCUCCUCUGAUAUAUUCUUGUAUUGUCUAGCUGCAACAAUUUAAUCUAAUCUAGAGAGUAUAAUAAAUGAUUUUCUUAUGUU